CAGCCGUAAACUAUGCUCGCUAGGUGUCAGGCAUGGCGCGACCGUGUCUGGUGCCGCAGGGAAGCCGUGAAGCGAGCCACCUGGGAAGUACGGCCGCAAGGCUGAAACUUAAAGGAAUUGGCGGGGGAGCACAACAACGGGUGGAGCCUGCGGUUUAAUUGGACUCAACGCCGAAAAACUCACCAGCAGCGACUGUUACAUGAAAGUCAGGUUGAUGACCUUACUAGAUUUUUCAGAGAGGAGGUGCAUGGCGUAGACGUCU
This 262-nucleotide ribosomal RNA is filed under the name uncultured archaeon. RNAcentral describes it as "partial 16S ribosomal RNA". It matches the Rfam family "Archaeal small subunit ribosomal RNA", at positions 748 to 1009 of the family's 1478-position model. The record is from RNAcentral.